Pseudopipra pipra is the source of this 5425-nucleotide long non-coding RNA. RefSeq lists it as uncharacterized. NCBI's taxonomy places the organism in Eukaryota, Metazoa, Chordata, Aves, Passeriformes, Pipridae. The record is from RefSeq and is a predicted model, not a curated record. The transcript has 3 exons.
GUGCGGGUCAGGUCGCUGGGAAGGGAGAAGCGGAAAACAUGCACCUGUUAGUAGUGACUGCGUGCGGCCGCCCGGGCGGGCGGGCGGGAGCGGGGCCGCCCUCCCUCCUCCCCGCACCCCUCGCGCGGCGCCCCCUUACUCGAUGAAGAAGACGCGCCCGUCCCUGCAGACGCCGUAGGACCAGUGCUCAGAUAACCAAAAUAAAUAAUCAGAAGAAAGUAGUAGGCAGGAAAAACAACAUCAUUGAGAAGAGAGAGGACUUUGCUCAAUUUCACACCAGUUUCAGACAUCAUGCUGGUAUGGUGCAUCAGGAUGACCUUGUGUAGACCUCCCUUUUUGGCCACUGUUGGAGAAGAGGACACUAUACUAGUGUCAUGGUUGUUAUAGUGAGACACAUUGCAGGCUAGCUUCAGAAGCUGUGAGCUCAGAAAGCUCUUGAGCAAGAUGUUAUUUACAUAUGUAACUCCUGGCUCUGGUUCCAGUCCUCCCUGGCUGAUCUCGGCCACUUUUCUAUUACAUAUCAUUCACUGCUCUCUAGAGGCACUGUGUGGAAGAAACCAUUUGAGGUAAAAUUAGGGAUUUAAGGCCACAAUAUCAGGAACUCAGCUAAAGGUUGUGAAAUAUGUUCUUCAACAACAUUAAGGGUCUAAUAAAAGCUGUGAGACUUGAGGCUCCCUUUGUUGAUAACUGGGUAAUUCAAGGAGACGUGGUCCCUGAAUACUGCAAGUUUGAAUCCACAUAUGGCAGCUUUAUAGAAAUCUGUUACUGAUGUUUCUUGCUCUGUCUGCAUCCCCUGGGAACACUUUGGAUGAAUUCAUUAAUUUUUUUUUCUGCCUUGGGAGAGCAGUGGUAUAUAUUUUAAAGUAUGUCAAAAUCUGUAUAUACACUUUCACAGAAACAUAAAAUCACAGACUGGUUUGGGUUGGAAGGGACCUUAAAGAUCAUCUAGUUCCAACCUUCCCAUCGUGGGCAGGGACACCUUUCACUAAACCAGGUUGCUCAGAACUCCAUCCAACUUGGCCUUUAACACUUCCAGGGAUGGGGCAUCCACUGUUUCUCUGGGCAACCCAUUCCAGUGCCUCACCAUCUUCACAGUGAAGAAUUUCUUUCUAGUACCUAAUCUAAACCUGCCCUCUUCCAGUUUAAAAUUGUUACCCUUUUUCCUAUCACUACAUGCCUUUGCUAUUUCCAGAGUAAAAUCACUGAAUAUGAACAUCCUUUCUACGUCCUUUCCUUUCUUUUCAGCCCUUGCCCUUACAACCCAGCUUCACCCUGUCAAUGGCAACAUCCAAAUCUUUUCAUUUUCUCUUUUUUCCACUUCUAUUACACACAUCGUCACCCCUUGCACAACUUAGGUCUGCAUAUUUCCCUGCACUUUUUCAACCCUUCAUAUGCUAUAACUUUUCAACAAAACAUGGAGUAGGAAUCUGCAAAUAAUGCUGGAAACACUAUAUAAUAAUAAUAAUAAUAAUAAUAAUAAAGAGUAUAAUUUCCAUCAGUCACAACUAGAUCCAGUGCCUAGGAGGUUACGGAAUCACAUCUGGACUUCAGGCUGCCUUGUACGCUAAUGAUCUAUUUCCUAUUUUCCUGAGAAUUGAAUACAAUCGAAUUUGAUGACUUAGAGGCUGCUGCUGUUUCAGGAAACUUAAAUGAGGUACAAUGCAUAGAAAAGCCUGCUAGUUAUGACUUUUUCAUCAUGGCCUGUACAUUUUAUAAAGGGCAAGCACAAUCUAUAAAAGGUGCAAGGCCAGACCAGAGGCAGAGCAUUUGAGGAGCACUGAAUUUCAAUUAUUAAAUCUUGGUUCAGAAAGUUCAUAAGCCAUAAUGCAAAACAUGUAAUAUGCCUUUUAGCAUGAUUUUGCAGCUCUGCUCAGAACAGCUGAGAAUUAAAACCACAAAAGGUUUCAUGGUAAGACAGGUUAAUUUGCAAGACAAUUUCAGAGCAAUUCAUUUCCUGAUUAUACUGAAAUAUAGGUUAUGCAACCAAAUCGUUCUUCAAGAUUGUGCAGUGCAAUUCCCAUCCAGCAGUGGCAAGUGCUUAAGAGACUAGAAAUCAAUACCCUGAUUCUUAUGGGUAGAAGAAUAUGUUAAUCAGAUGAUAGGGAAAUACAAAAUAUGAAAGAGGUCUUGGAGGCAUUAGGCAAAUCCACAUUCCUGGAAAAUUUUCAGUGCCAUUACUCCAAAACUACAAUGCUUUUUCAGAGGAUGGAAAAACUUCACUAAGGAAUCACUAUGGAAUAUUUGUUCAAAUUGGGGAAAACAACUUUCAACUGUUGGAUUCCCAAACAACGUGGGAAAAAGCCAUUUCAGGAGAACAGUACUAAUGAUUCCAAAAAUAGCACAAGAAGAGGAACAGAUUCCUUUGUCCGUGGCUAACUCAAGGAGAUUUGCUGAGGUCCCCAAUUGCUGCAAAUUUGAACCCACAAAAAAUGGUAGACUUCACACACUUCCAGAUAGCUUGCCUUCAAAAGGAAUUAGAGAGAAAAAGGGAAUAUAUGUAAUGGGUUACUUAAUGUCAGUAAUUCAGUAAAGAAUAAAAAUAUUAGUAUAUAACAGAACUCUCCAAUAAUUCAGAAGAGAAAAAAUGGUCAUGCACAGCUAAUACCUGUGUCAUGCUGUAGGAUGAAAGAGCACUAUAAGGAGAGGAUCAAACAUACAGAAAGAUUUGCUUUAUUUUCGAGUCUCAAGUCCAAAAGUUGUUUACAACAAGAAGAGGACAAAAUAAAAAUAUUCAAGUCAAAGAAAGACCAAAUAUUACCUUACUGGAUAAGGAAAGCAAGCAAGAAGAUCAUUGUUGUAUUAUUUCAAAAUAAAAUGCAGUUGAUGGGAUUUAAUACGUACCAAUCAAUUUUUUUUCCAUGUUCAUCCAUGGCAGGGUAAGUAGAAAUCAGCCUGAUUUAUGCAAGAUAAAUUUGAAGAUAGAAAUAAAUAGAAAUAUUCCCAAAUAUAAUGAGGAGCAAAACCGCUAGGAAUGUCAUGGCAUUUCCUUCAUCACCAGUUUCUGAAGGCUGGCCCAGGCAAAGCUUCUGGCAGGGAGAUUCUCAGUAUACUUAUUUUGGUUUAGAUCAGGAACUAUGAAGAGAUGACCUCACAAGAUCCCUUUUAGCCUGGAUUUCUAUGAAAACAAAAGCUGAUUCAAAAUGUUAAGAAUUUUAGAAAUAGGUGGAUGUCUAAAAUUGUCAUUGCAUGAUAUGUACUAAAGAACACCAUUACUGAGCGGCUGACUAGUUCACAGGAAGAAUUCAUGGCAACCAUUUGAAUUUAAAGAUUUCUGUUAUUUACAAGGAGAGGAAGGACAAUCCCUGAUGUAGUUAAGAAAGAUAAGCAACUUGCACAAUGGUACUCCUAAUGACAUGACUAAAUAUAGAGCGCAUGCUCAUUCCAGACCUGGAAUGUUUUCAGUCAAAACUCAUAAUCCACAGAAGCCAGGAGAGCUUGACACAAUGUAAGGCGGCAAGAGUCACAAGAUAGGUAUAAAAGUUAGGCACACCAUCUGCAAGACAUCACUCAGUUCCAGCCUAAGUACUUUCCAGGACAGAAUUAAUACAUAUUAAUACAACACCAAAUAAAUCUUGAACAGAACUGAAAAGGUACUGUCACCAAUCGAUUGUGGUUUGGUUUUUUUGUAAGUACGACAUUAAAUGAAACAUCUUUUGCAUUUUGUGCACAGGACAAUUUAUGCUGUGGGGAAGGUGAUGGCAAAUGUUAGACAAAAUAAGACUUUCAGAGCCUGUUUCCCUUGCAAUAGAUUGAGAAGUUUCCCUAAAUUUCCAUGGGACUAGUGUCAGGCAGUAGAGUUCUAUGAGCACCAGAAGAUAAAUAUAGCUGAUAAAAUAAGAAAGAUUAAAUAAUGGUAAAUCCAUUGUUGAGGGAUUUCCAAAUACGGAAAAAGGAAUUAUUCAUUUUCCUGGCCACUGGAAAGAAUAUAAACAAGUUCAAAUUGUAUCCACAGUUCCUUUGAGGAAGAUAUGGAGCAUGACAUUGUACAAGAAUAGUUUUCAGGCUCACUGUGUCACUGUGAUCUGACUGAUGACUGCACACAGGCAUCAGCCGAGACAGUGACACUGCUGAGCAAGACAGAUGGGAAAAUGACAUUGAGAAGGCAACACUCGUGCUGCAUAGCAAAUCCAAACUUCUCCUUCCAAACCAUGCUGAACUCUCCUAGGAGUAAAAAAAAAAUGGUAAUUCUCUUUACUUAAAAGGUUUUCUUUUCCAAACCACUGUCAGUUUUUAAAAGUAUGUUCACGCUGCAAGUACCCUUUCUGCAAUUGAGAAGAUAUCUUCAAAAUAAUUCUAUUUUCCUUACAAAUUUCCUUCCUGUUUAAAGAUAUCCUACUGUUUCAUCUUUUAGAUGCAUGUAUCUGAAUAUAUCUAAUUACCUCUCUCACCAGAAUAUCCCAUUGUCCUAAAGAAUUAUAGUCAUAGAAUCGAGUUAAGCAUGUCCCCUGAAAUACACAAAAAUGCAUGCAAAAGCAAAAAUGAAUGAAUGCAUUUCCUAAUUACUAAGUCAAUUUACAAUUUCCUGUCACACAAGCUUUUAUGAUUACUAUAUUUAACACAGUCCUAUCGCUUCUUCUCUUCAUUUUCUCUCUUUUGCAUUUCACAAAGUCUCAAUAAUUUACAUACCCAGCACCUAGGAUACUCAGACUAAGAUGUAUUAAUUAAUUAAUAUUUAAUUAAGAAUUAAAUAAAUAGUCAUAAUUUUGUCAUGGCACAUCUUGUCAUUCUAAACAGAGGUGGCAGUAGUCAAAUUGCUGCACAAUGUUCAAGUUACUUGUAGAAGGGAGAAAUACAGAAAAACAAUUAUGUGCCAAAGUCACUUACAAGAUCAUUUCCAGAAAUGAAAAUUUGUGGGUGUUUUUCUUAUUUUUUUGUCAAAGGACGCUGUAAGCCUGGCAGCACGGAGAAGCCCUCAGUUCUUCAAUAUUGAUAUACCUGCAGCUGUCAACAUUUGGUUUGUUUUAAAGCAGAGACUUGAAGUCAUUUCCAUAUUUAUGAACACAAACAGGCUCACUGUCAUCCCAUGGCUAUGGACACCUGAGUAUGAAGAAGAUCCUUUUUUAAGGAACAGGACAAAUGGAAAGACAGACAUUACUGACCUCUGAGACUAAAAACUUCAAAAUUUUAAAUCAAACUGUUCAAUUCUCUGAUGUUUCCUCACAAAUUUUGUGUUUUAUUUCCUUCCCCAACAUGAGAUACCUCACUCCUUUAUUCCCAUCAAAGCUUUUUUUUCCCCCAGCUUUGAGUCCAUGACUGUUAUUACCCCUUUUUUCCAGCCCCUCUGGCAACUGCCAUUACCAUAUUUGCCCCCCUUUUUUUGGAAUAUUUUACAUACCACAUUCAAGGCAAGCAGAAUGUCACAUAUUCCCAACCAUAUUCACUAAGACAUUUUUUCUAAAAAAAUUAAAGACCCCUGAAUUCACUA